This 1530-nucleotide ribosomal RNA is filed under the name Shigella boydii. Its description in RNAcentral is "bacterial SSU rRNA". It matches the Rfam family "Bacterial small subunit ribosomal RNA". The record is from RNAcentral. Lineage: Bacteria; Pseudomonadati; Pseudomonadota; Gammaproteobacteria; Enterobacterales; Enterobacteriaceae.
AGAGUUUGAUCAUGGCUCAGAUUGAACGCUGGCGGCAGGCCUAACACAUGCAAGUCGAACGGUAACAGGAAGCAGCUUGCUGCUUCGCUGACGAGUGGCGGACGGGUGAGUAAUGUCUGGGAAACUGCCUGAUGGAGGGGGAUAACUACUGGAAACGGUAGCUAAUACCGCAUAAUGUCGCAAGACCAAAGAGGGGGACCUUCGGGCCUCUUACCAUCGGAUGUGCCCAGAUGGGAUUAGCUUGUUGGUGGGGUAACGGCUCACCAAGGCGACGAUCCCUAGCUGGUCUGAGAGGAUGACCAGCCACACUGGAACUGAGACACGGUCCAGACUCCUACGGGAGGCAGCAGUGGGGAAUAUUGCACAAUGGGCGCAAGCCUGAUGCAGCCAUGCCGCGUGUAUGAAGAAGGCCUUCGGGUUGUAAAGUACUUUCAGCGGGGAGGAAGGGAGUAAAGUUAAUACCUUUGCUCAUUGACGUUAUCCGCAGAAGAAGCACCGGCUAACUCCGUGCCAGCAGCCGCGGUAAUACGGAGGGUGCAAGCGUUAAUCGGAAUUACUGGGCGUAAAGCGCACGCAGGCGGUUUGUUAAGUCAGAUGUGAAAUCCCCGGGCUCAACCUGGGAACUGCAUCUGAUACUGGCAAGCUUGAGUCUCGUAGAGGGGGGUAGAAUUCCAGGUGUAGCGGUGAAAUGCGUAGAGAUCUGGAGGAAUACCGGUGGCGAAGGCGGCCCCCUGGACGAAGACUGACGCUCAGGUGCGAAAGCGUGGGGAGCAAACAGGAUUAGAUACCCUGGUAGUCCACGCCGUAAACGAUGUCGACUUGGAGGUUGUGCCCUUGAGGCAUGGCUUCCGGAGCUAACGCGUUAAGUCGACCGCCUGGGGAGUACGGCCGCAAGGUUAAAACUCAAAUGAAUUGACGGGGGCCCGCACAAGCGGUGGAGCAUGUGGUUUAAUUCGAUGCAACGCGAAGAACCUUACCUGGUCUUGACAUCCACGGAAGUUUUCAGAGAUGAGAAUGUGCCUUCGGGAACCGUGAGACAGGUGCUGCAUGGCUGUCGUCAGCUCGUGUUGUGAAAUGUUGGGUUAAGUCCCGCAACGAGCGCAACCCUUAUCCUUUGUUGCCAGCGGUCCGGCCGGGAACUCAAAGGAGACUGCCAGUGAUAAACUGGAGGAAGGUGGGGAUGACGUCAAGUCAUCAUGGCCCUUACGACCAGGGCUACACACGUGCUACAAUGGCGCAUACAAAGAGAAGCGACCUCGCGAGAGCAAGCGGACCUCAUAAAGUGCGUCGUAGUCCGGAUUGGAGUCUGCAACUCGACUCCAUGAAGUCGGAAUCGCUAGUAAUCGUGGAUCAGAAUGCCACGGUGAAUACGUUCCCGGGCCUUGUACACACCGCCCGUCACACCAUGGGAGUGGGUUGCAAAAGAAGUAGGUAGCUUAACCUUCGGGAGGGCGCUUACCACUUUGUGAUUCAUGACUGGGGUGAAGUCGUAACAAGGUAACCGUAGGGGAACCUGCGGUUGGAUCACCU